CGUGUGUUUCGUUUUUAACGAUGCGAAGUAGUAGGUAGUUGUUUAUCUAAAAUUUGUGAAAGCGUAAAAUAAACGAAGAAUAUAAUUAAUAUGGGCGUAGAAAAACAGGAAACCCAUCGUCCAGGAGGAUUUAAACAAGUCAAUAAACCACAUAAAACUGGUAGACAUCGGAGUAAAGGUUCCAUUGGUCAUGAGGUUGGAGGUAGAAUAGGCGUCAAAGCAUUAACUAAACGCGCUCGCCAAGAAUUGGGUAAAGAAGCAAGAAGACAUCAAUCUCAACAACUUCGACAGAAGAAACGAGAAGCAGUCUUAGCUAAGAAACGUAAUCUUGGAGGAUCUUCUAGCGCACCAAUCCUUGUUGCUGUAAUUCCGUUGCAUGAGGAUUUAAAUCCAAAAGAUAUCGUUAACUGCAUGAAACAUGCAGACGAGUCAGCAAUAGUAACAGUUAGUCCAAAUGACAACACUCAUAUUAGCUUGCCCCGGUACAAACAGCGGUUUACCUUUGUUACUCCACCAGUUGGCAACACGUUUGCAACAUUAGAUGCAGCCAAAGUUGCUAAUACCGUGCUUUUUGUUGUUUCGGCAACUACCGGACACUCGACUGAUUCCAAAACUGAUAUCGUUGACUCAUGGGGUGAAGAAAUUAUCGUUGCUUGUCUUGCUCAAGGCUUGCCUAGUACCAUAAUCGGAUUAAUUAAUUUAGAAGAUAUACCUAUAAAGAAGCGACAGGACUAUAAGCAGCAAGCACAGAAGACGAUUUCAAAGUGGCUUCCACAAGAAAAAGUGCACUCACUGGAUAAACCCACUGAUACACUGAAUAUCUUGCGCAGAGCCGGAUCACAGAAGCAGAGAAAUGUGGCGUAUAGAAACAAGCGAGCCCAUCUGCUGGCGGAACAGAUUAAAUAUACAUGCAACAGUGAUGCUGAAAACUAUGUGGGGACUUUGGAAGUAUCGGGUUAUCUGCGUGGUAUACCUUUAUCCGUAAAUGGAUUAGUUCAUGUACCUGGUCUAGGUGAUUUUCAAAUGUCGCAAAUUGAUGCCCCAGAAGAUCCUCAUCCUCUGGAAAAACGGGAACUGAAAGGACGAUCUACAGUGCAGGAAGAUUCCAUGGAAUCGGAAGUUCCUACAAAAGUUCUGGAACGUGCUGAUCCCAGUAAACAGGAAUCUCUCCAAAGUGAAAAUGUCAUUGACCCAAUGGACGCGGAACAAACUUGGCCUACGGAGGAAGAAUUGGCGGAAGCGGAGAUGGAACGCAAACGAAAACUGAUAAAACGCGUGCCGAAAGGCACAUCCGAGUAUCAAGCGGCUUGGAUUCCUGAUGACGAUGCUGAUGAAUUUGACAAUUCUGCAUCCGAAUCCGAGGACGACUGUAUGUCAGUAGAAGCAGCACAAUCCGAAGAAGAUAGUGUCGCUAAUGACGACAAAGAUGAAGAGUAUGAAACGAUGACCGUAUCAGAGGCUGCACCGGAUGAACAACGUUACGACGAAGAAAUGGAUUUACACGAAGAACGUCAGGCCAUGGAAAAAAUAAAGCAGGCAAAAUUAGACGCAGAAUUUCCUGACGAAAUCGACACACCUCAGGAUGUCUUGGCCAAAGUCCGAUUCCAGAAGUAUCGAGGUCUGGAGUCUUUCAAAACCAGUCCUUGGGACCCCAAAGAAAAUCUCCCAAUUGAUUAUGCUCGGAUAUUUCAGUUUCAAAACUUUGAUCGCACCCGCAGACGUAUAUUCAAAGAACAGCAAGAUGUGGAAGGAGCAAUGCCCGGUUGGUACGUGACUCUUCACAUAAUUGGCGUCAAAAAAGAACUGUUCGAUGCUUAUCGUACAGCCGAAGAUCUGCCUUUAGUUGUUUUUGGAUUAUUACCACACGAAAACAAGAUGUCCGUAUUGAACGCAGUCCUGAAACGCACGAGUAAUAACGCAGAGCCAAUAAAAUCGAAAGAACGAUUAAUCUUUCAGUGCGGUUUCAGAAGGUUGUCUUCGUGUCCGAUUUUCAGCCAACAUACGAAUGGGAAUAAACAUAAGUAUGAAAGGUAUUUCCAGCCAGAGAGUACAGUCGUGGCGAGUAUGUUUGCGCCAAUUAUGUUCCCGCCGUGUCCUGUUCUCUGCUACACGACGAAAAUGGAAUUAAUAGCCAUUGGAAGUGUAUUGUCCGCCAAUCCAGACAGAAUAGUCAUCAAGCGAGUCGCUCUAAGUGGGCAUCCCUUCAAGGUGCACAAACGAUCGGCGGUGAUACGAUUUAUGUUCUACAAUCGAGAUGACAUAAAUUGGUUCAAGCCUGUGGAGCUGCACACCAAGUACGGACGCAGAGGCCACAUUAGGGAACCCCUGGGCACCCACGGACACAUGAAAUGCGUAUUCGAUGGCCAGCUGAAAUCGCAGGACACCGUGCUAAUGAAUUUAUACAAGCGAGUUUUUCCUAAGUGGACAUAUGAGCCUUUUCUAUUUACUGAUGAAAUGUACCAGUCGAACGAUGUAAAUAUACAGUAAAGUUACAAAGGCAGUAAAACCAUAUUGUCCAUCGCAAUAUGGUAUUUUACAUUUUCCCAUAUAAAUACGGAUGCAUUUAAAACACUUGCUCGUUGAUACUGAGAGCUACAGUUAACCGAUCCAAGUAGAAAAACAUUAAUUCAACGACCCAACACAUUCAUCUUACAUCAAAGUAUGAAUAAAAAGUCAUAUAUUAGGUUGUAAAACAGUGUAUUCUAAAGCCUUGUCACCAGUUAUCUAUACAUUGAGUACGAAUGUAAUUAUGAUAUAUAUACACGUCUUGGUCAGUGGCAAAAAUGAUAUAAAUGGAGGAAGAUGUAAGAAAAUUAUCUGACAGUUUUAGUACAGAUUUCAACACGCGCCGAUGCCGAUUCGACAAAAAUUGUAUAACGCGUUGGUACACUUCGAAGAAAAGUUUCAUGAACAA
This 2914-nucleotide unclassified non-coding RNA is filed under the name Orussus abietinus. Its description in RNAcentral is "pre-rRNA-processing protein TSR1 homolog, transcript variant X1". The record is from RNAcentral. Lineage: Eukaryota; Metazoa; Arthropoda; Insecta; Hymenoptera; Orussidae.